This 350-nucleotide long non-coding RNA is filed under the name Olea europaea (common olive). RNAcentral describes it as "long non-coding RNA (OEUR_LNC005491)". The record is from RNAcentral. Lineage: Eukaryota; Viridiplantae; Streptophyta; Magnoliopsida; Lamiales; Oleaceae.
UCACUCCGUUAUUCCUUUGUUACAUGCUUACUAUAUAAAUUAUUACAUUUCACAAACAAAUACAGUAAAAAAACUGUAGUUGUUGAAUUAGGCUAUCCCAUGAAGAAAUCUAGUUAUUUGGACUUAUCUUUCCCUUGUCGUUGUGCUUCUUGACAGCAGUAACUGCCGAUUUUACAACUUUCUUCGAUGCCUCAGCCAUUUUCUCUACCAUCAUUGUUGAAACAGGCUUCUUUUCUUUGGGAUAAACACUUCCGUUCUUGGCAUAUUGUGGUGCACUGCUGCUGCCGGAAUCCAUGUUUGCACUUCUUUUGAAAACGUUUUAUAUCUUUAUAUGAACUCUCCUGUUUCUG